Non-coding RNA from Pelobates cultripes (western spadefoot toad), 220 nucleotides. NCBI's taxonomy places the organism in Eukaryota, Metazoa, Chordata, Amphibia, Anura, Pelobatidae. The record is from the annotation of a GenBank genome assembly.
CCCAUCUCCUGUCAUGUGAUGUGUCUUUUUUUUCUUUCAAAGGUGAAUGUGGGACUGAUAGAAGAAACUCUCCAUGAAGGUGAUAUUUUCCUUCUACUGCUAAAUGUCAAUAUGGGACUGCUCUGCAAGACGUUAUCCUUCAAACAGGUGAUGAUGUUUCUACUUGAGGAUGAGAAAAAUUACUUUAACUCCAUGAAUUCUUCGCAUUGUACAUUAGUGG